Molecule: ribosomal RNA, 433 nt
Filed under: uncultured bacterium
Lineage: Bacteria
Description: partial 16S ribosomal RNA
Rfam family: Bacterial small subunit ribosomal RNA
Source: RNAcentral
AACGAACGCUGGCGGCAUGCCUAACACAUGCAAGUCGAACGAGACCUUCGGGUCUAGUUGCUCACGGGUGCGUAACGCGUGGGAACCUGCCCUUAUGUUCGGAAUAACUCCCCGAAAGGGGUGCUAAUACCGGAUAAUGUCUUCGGACCAAAGAUUUAUCGACUUUGGAUGGGCCCGCGUUGGAUUAGCUAGUUGGUAGGGUAAAAGCCUACCAAGGCGACGAUCCAUAGCUGGUCUGAGAGGAUGAUCAGCCACACUGGGACUGAGAAACGGCCCAGAAUACUACGGGAGGCAGCAGUGGGGAAUAUUGGAAAAUGGGCGAAAGCCUGAUCCAGCAAUGCCGCGUGAGUGAUGAAGGCCUUAGAGUUGUAAAGCUCUUUUACCCGGGAUGAUAAUGACAGUACCGGGAGAAUAAGCUCCGGCUAACUCCGUG